Molecule: microRNA precursor, 79 nt
Filed under: Medicago truncatula (barrel medic)
Lineage: Eukaryota; Viridiplantae; Streptophyta; Magnoliopsida; Fabales; Fabaceae
Description: MIR5269 microRNA precursor family
Rfam family: MIR5269 microRNA precursor family
Source: Rfam by way of RNAcentral
UUGAUUUAAAUCAUUGUGGGUCUACACUUUGAAAAUUGAACUCACAUAAAGUGAAAGGACAUACAUUGAUUUUAUCCAA